AACAAGUCUAUACUCAUCAAUAAGUAAUAAUCAAUAAUCAUGUAUGUGUAGCUGAGAAGGACCUGAGAAACCCAACCUCAUCCCCAGUCCUCCUAAAACUUACAUGAGUCCCAGCGCUGCUCAGGGGGGUGAGACUUACGUGCUAGGAGAGGGAAUGACUCGACUCUAGCCUCCCCUUUAUAAGUCUGCCUCCCUCCAACCCAGCUGAAGUUAAGUACAGUUGAUUGGCAUGCAUCAAUCAUGCUAAUUAUAGUUAAUGAAGGGUGUCUUUUAAGGUAUCUGGUGGCUUUUGUAGAUAUGGCAAAUAUCCUUAAGCUUAGAUCUACACAUGAAGAUGUUUUAAGAUGAUUUCUGGUUUUAUUGUAAGUAGGUGGUGGCCAUAGAAAGCGGCUAGAUGUCUUCACAUAAAUUUUAUAGCCUCUGAGAAGUCAACACGUUCUUUUAGAGUCCUGUAACUGUUGCUAAAUUAAGACCAAAGCAUACUCAAACCCUCGUUUGAAUUAAAACUGCAUUAUAACACAGCAUAUUGUAUGUAGUACUACGGAGAAAUACUGCGACUGCUAAUUUUAUUAUAUUUCAUCAUAUGCAGUUGUUGCACAUAUACUCUAGCAGGAAAAAUUCUUUUUAACAAAAAUGACAUGAGAUUAUAUCAUGAUACUGCAAUGCAAGUAUGGAAAUGAAUAUGGGAUGGAAGUUCAGGUCUUAGUGUCUUCCAAAAAAAGGUGUCACCCAUAGAAGUAGUCUAUAGAAAGAAAAGAUGCCAUUUUAAGCUAGUCCAUGUGAACUUGUGCCACUAUAGAGCUGAGUAAGAUUUUAUAUAUGAUUGUGGAUGUUAAUAUUUUCUAUUAGUAGUUGAUGUGGAGUUCAGCUCAAAGUCACUUGUAAAAAAAAUGAAGUAAAACAACAAUGAAAGCCAUGGAUCCAACUUACAAUUACAUUUAUAGAUAAAUCCAUAUUUCAAUCUUCAGAAUGAUGUAGAGAUCUAGGGUCUAAAAGGUUGAAAUUUGCCUGACUGACGGAUGUAUCUUUUCCCGGUGGUGCGAAUUCAAGAUGUUUUAAACCUAUGACAUGUAAUUAAUGAAGCACAGUCAGUAGAUGCCAUAUGUGAAAUUGUUUUACUCGGUAUCCUGCCAAAGAUGAGAUUAUACUUGUAUCAGGUAGAAUAAAAGAUUUAUCAUGAGCAGUAUGUGCGGCUGAUUCCAGGUGUUCACCCUGUGUUUUAGAGUCACCAGAUUUUUAACAUGUCUGAAUAAAACAUAUUUUAGUCCAGGAUGGCACAACAAAA
Branchiostoma floridae (Florida lancelet) is the source of this 1285-nucleotide long non-coding RNA. RefSeq lists it as uncharacterized. The transcript is spliced from 2 exons. The record is from RefSeq and is a predicted model, not a curated record. Lineage: Eukaryota; Metazoa; Chordata; Leptocardii; Amphioxiformes; Branchiostomatidae.